RNAcentral lists this unclassified non-coding RNA (254 nucleotides) under Paraphaeosphaeria michotii. RNAcentral's name for it is "partial internal transcribed spacer region". The stretch from base 1 to 46 matches the Rfam family "Eukaryotic small subunit ribosomal RNA", at positions 1786 to 1831 of the family's 1831-position model. The record is from RNAcentral. RNAcentral also lists the same sequence under 1 other name. Lineage: Eukaryota; Fungi; Ascomycota; Dothideomycetes; Pleosporales; Didymosphaeriaceae.
AAGUCGUAACAAGGUUUCCGUAGGUGAACCUGCGGAAGGAUCAUUAUCCAUACCAAAACCAGGUGCGGUCGCGGCCUCCGGGCAACCGGGUGGUUUCGCGCCGCAUUCCUGCACCCUUUUUUUACGAGCACCUUUGUUCUCCUUCGGCGGGGCAACCUGCCGCUGGAACUUAUAAAACCUUUUUUUGCAUCUAGCAUUACCUGUUCUGAUACAAACAAUCGUUACAACUUUCAACAAUGGAUCUCUUGGCUCUG